CUCAAAGAUUAAGCCAUGCAAGUCUAAGCACAUGCCGAUUAAAGGUAAAGCCGCGAAUAGCUCAUUACAACAGCCUCUGUUUAUUAGAUCUUUCUUUCCUACUUGGAUAACUGUGGCAAUUCUAGAGCUAAUACAUGCAACAAAGCCCUGACCGUAAGGAAGGGGUGCACUUAUUAGAACAAAACCAAUCGAGCCUCUGGCUCGUCAAUUGGUGAAUCUGAAUAAUUUUGCCGAUCGAACGGUCUUUGAACCGUCGACGUAUCUUUCAAAUGUCUGCCUUAUCAACUUUCGAUGGUAGUAUAUAGGACUACCAUUGUGAUAACGGGUAACGGAGAAUUAGGGUUCGACUCCGGAGAGGGAGCCUGAGAAACGGCUACCACAUCCAAGGAAGGCAGCAGGCACGCAAAUUACCCACUCCCGGCAAGGGGAGGUAGUGACGAAAAAUAACGAGGCAGUUCUCUACGAGGCCUGUCAUCGGAAUGAACACAAUUUAAAUCCUUUAAUGAGGAUCUAUUGGAGGGCAAGUCUGGUGCCAGCAGCCGCGGUAAUUCCAGCUCCAAUAGCGUAUAUUAAAGUUGUUGCGGUUAAAAAGCUCGUAGUUGGAUCUGUGGUCAUGUGAAGUGGUCGCCCAGUGGGUUGUUACUGCUUACACAGGCCAAGUUUUUCUAGCGCACUCUUGGUGCUCUUAAAUGAGUGUCUUGAGUAGCUAGUAUGUUUACUUUGAAAAAAUUAGAGUGCUUAAAGCAGACGCUUGUUUGAAUAGUGGUGCAUGGAAUAAUGGAAUAGGACCUUGAGUCCAUUUUGUUGGUUUACAGUCUCGAGGUAAUGAUUAAGAGGGACAGACGGGGGCAUUCGUAUUGCGACGUUAGAGGUGAAAUUCUUGGAUCGUCGCAAGACGAACUACUGCGAAAGCAUUUGCCAAGAAUGUUUUCAUUAAUCAAGAACGAAAGUUAGAGGUUCGAAGGCGAUCAGAUACCGCCCUAGUUCUAACCGUAAACGAUGCAAACUAGCGAUCCGUUGGCGUUAAAAAUAUGACUCCACGGGCAGCUUCCGGGAAACCAAAGUGUUUCUGUUCCGGGGGAAGUAUGGUUGCAAAGCUGAAACUUAAAGGAAUUGACGGAAGGGCACCACCAGGAGUGGAGCCUGCGGCUUAAUUUGACUCAACGCGGGAAAUCUCACCCGGCCCUGACACUGUAAGGAUUGACAGAUUGAUAGCUCUUUCUUGAUUCGGUGGGUGGUGGUGCAUGGCCGUUCUUAGUUGGUGGAGCGAUUUGUCUGGUUAAUUCCGAUAACGAACGAGACUCUAGCCUACUAAAUAGUGAAUAAAUUCUUUGGUUUGUUAACUUCUUAGAGGGAUAAGUGGUGUUUAGCCACACGAGAUUGAGCAAUAACAGGUCUGUGAUGCCCUUAGAUGUUCGGGGCUGCACGCGCGCUACACUGAAGAAUAGAGCGUGUAUUAAAGCCUUUUCCGGAAGGAAUGGGUAACCCUUUGAAACUUCUUCGUGCUUGGGAUAGGGAAUUGAAAUUAUUUCCCUUUAACGAGGAAUUCCUAGUAAGUGCGGGUCAUUAUCUCGCGUUGAUUACGUCCCUGCCCUUUGUACACACCGCCCGUCGCUACUACCGAUUGGAUGGCUUAGUGAGGCAUUCGGACUGGUCCUGAGGCGAUCUUCGGAUUGCUUUAGGUACUAGGAAGAUUUCCUAACUGCGUCAUUUAGAGGAAGUAAAANUCGUAACAAGGUNUCCGUAUGUGAACCUGCA
This 1758-nucleotide ribosomal RNA is filed under the name Ironus dentifurcatus. RNAcentral's name for it is "SSU rRNA". It matches the Rfam family "Eukaryotic small subunit ribosomal RNA". Lineage: Eukaryota; Metazoa; Nematoda; Enoplea; Enoplida; Ironidae. The record is from RNAcentral.